Thalassophryne amazonica is the source of this 261-nucleotide long non-coding RNA. RefSeq lists it as uncharacterized. The transcript has 3 exons. The record is from RefSeq and is a predicted model, not a curated record. Lineage: Eukaryota; Metazoa; Chordata; Actinopteri; Batrachoidiformes; Batrachoididae.
UGUUUGUUGAGUUCGCUGCAGACUGCAGUGUAUCAUCCACGCAGCAGAGAAGGUGAUCGACUGUAGUCUGCCAUCCCUACAGGACCUGCACACCUCCAGGGCCCUGAGGAGAGCAAGGACAAUAGUGGCUGAUCCCUCCCACCUAGGACACAAACUUUUUGUCACCCUCCCCUCUGGCAGGAGGCUGAGGUCCAUCAGGACUAAAACCUCAAGACACAAAAACAGCUUAUUUCCAUCCGCAGCUAGAUUCAUAAACAAUGC